Heterocephalus glaber (naked mole-rat) is the source of this 5004-nucleotide long non-coding RNA. Lineage: Eukaryota; Metazoa; Chordata; Mammalia; Rodentia; Bathyergidae. The record is from Ensembl.
GGUUGGUGGCCCAGGCCAGUGCCAGCUCCAAGCAGAGAGCCACGGUCACCUACAUCUGCCUGGGCUGCCCUCCCCCAGCUGUGCCUCCCUCACCUGCCUGUCACCCUCUCUGUUCCAGCGGAGCUCGAGAAGCAGAAGGGCGUCGUGCGGCCCAGCAUGUCCCAGUGCUCCAGCCUCAAGAAGGAGCCUGGCAACGGCACGCUGAGCCGGGCCUGCCUGGACGACAGCUACGCAAGUGGCGAGGGCCUCAAGCGCAGUGCACUCAGCAGCUCCCUGCGCGACCUGUCAGAAGCGGCAAAACCCCGAAAUUCAUUGCCAGCAUGAGAGUUUAAGGCAGAGCUUCUCAACCUGGGCACCGUGGGCGUUUUGGCUAAACAACCCCAGCCUUGCAGGAGGCCACACAGCACCCCUGGCCCGUCCUGCCUGUCCCUGGCAUCUCCACAAGCCGCCAGGGGACCCUCAAGCGUGGGUUGAGAACCCCUGGCUUUCCUGGUCGCCUUGUUCACCCAGCUACAUGUCUUGGGACUGCUUGGGCCUCUGAGGUGUGGCCAGGCUGUUUGAGUUUGUGCACUGUGGCAGGCCACGCCCCCUCCCCCAGGCAGCUGCCAGAGAGGCCCUGUCCAGCCCCCCUAGGUGGCAGUGGCUCCUGUGGCCAGCCAGACACUCUCCCCGCUGUCUGGGGACCCUGAGGUCUGCACAGCCCACUCACCGAGGAGCAGGUCCCUGGGCGCCCUGUGCGUGGAAAGCCUGGGGUGAACUGAGGAGGGGUCUGCACGGAGGAGACUGCUGGACCAGCGGCUUGGAGGCUGGAGGAUUCCUGCUCUGGACCGGCUAUGCCGUGAGCCCCCUGCAGGCAAUGUGACACCCUGGCCCGCACCACACACAGUCUGGGGCGGUGACACCGAGACAACUCUUUGGUCCACGUCUGUCCAGGAGACAACAUACAGAGGACCCAGCCUGAGCCCCACGUGAACUGGACCAGGGAAGUGACCCCUGUCUGCUGGCCCUGGAGGAAGCCAUUGUCACUCAGGCUGGAGAGGGAAGGGCACUGGGGUCUGUCCUCAGCACCCGGCCCAGCUCAGUGGUGCGAUGGUGGAUGCUAUAUGGGCUGUCACCCAGCUGACCUCUGCUGAGCUGACCAGCACAAGUCCCCACGGAGAGGCCAUCCCUGGCGUUGAUAGUGGCACCAGUGGCACUGGGGAUGGAUGGACAAAGCAUCACCACCUGUAGCCACCAUGACACGCCUGAGGCCAGGCUCUGAUGUCCAGCAUUGGAGCCAGCCUACCAGGCCAUGUCCUCACCGCAAUGUGGAAGGUCAAUGUGUGCGGACCAUACAGAGCCAGCCCUGGCUGCUGGGCCCAGUGAGGGCACCAUGGAGCGAGGACCGCACAGCUGCAUCCUGUCCUGCUGUGGCACCCCAGGGUGCCAGGUCUGACCUGAUCCAAGUGAGGACCACUGUCCCUCACCCCGGAUCCUGCAAGGUGACAGAAGACAGUGGGAUGACACUUCUGGUCAAGUGUGUGUGCCAGCUGUCCAGCAGGGUUCCCUGGCCACAGGAGUGCUGGGUGUGCCUGUGAGCACGGGGCUCCCUCCGCAUCCUGGGUCGAGUUACAAGUUCAGCAUCGCACUUUGGAAACAUCACUCUGAGAUAGCCCAUUUAAAGGCCUUGAUGUCUGCUCCCAGAGGGCAGAGAAGGAGCACGAGAAAGACCUUGUUCACCCCCAAGCCCAGCUCUGCAGGCCUGGCCCACAACUGCCAGGCACAGCGGGUGGAUAGAAGUGGGUAUGGCAGGGACAGGCAGCUGGCUGUCCUCUGUCCUUGGCUUGUACUCAGUUGAGGGAGUGGGCCAAGCCUUUCAGGGGCCAGAGAGCAGAUUUUAAAACACUGAAGAACUGAGCAUGGUGGAUCAUGCCGGUAAUCCCAGCACUCUGGGAGGCUGAGACAGGAGGAUUACAAGUUCAGCCCCAGCCUGGUCAAUUUAGCAAGAGCCUGCCUCAAAAUAAAAGAGGGCUGGGAAUGUAGCCCUGUGCUAAGGCCCUGGGCUCAGUCCCCCUUUAUUGCAGUCACUAAGCAAAUGCCAAAGACAGCAGAGAUCAGACUGUCAGCAUUUCCAUGUGGCACCACAGUGUCCUGAGUGUGGAGUUCAGGGCCACUCGGGAGGCCAGCCAGGGAAGGCAGGCCGGGUCAGUUUCACAGGAGGGGGACCCUGAGGUCUGGAACCUAAGCGCCUGUUCCGUGUCCCUGGACACUGCUGGCAAAGGGCUGCUUCCCACCCGAGGACAGCAGAAGACACAGGGACCGGGGCCCAGUCAUCCCCAGGGCAUGGCAGCGGUGGAAACGCUCUGCUGGACUGUGGCACAGCUGUCUGUGGCCCUGGUGCCCACUUGGGUCAGCAGGCAGGAUGAAGUGACUGGACUCCCCGUCAGUGUGGCCAUCCCAGCGCACUCGUGUGACUGUGACGAACCCUGCAGCUCCACCCGACACUUUCAGGUGCCCUGGCCUGGCUCUGAGGAGCGGCAGCAUUUGCCCCAGAAGCAGGGGCCGGGGAUGCCUCGGAGUACGUGGCAGCCUCCCCUGUCCCCAAGGCCCGGGGCCACCUGGCUUUGCAUCCAGAGCAGUGGCAGUGUGGCCUAGACAUGUGGUUGCAGUGACGGACACAGUGCUGCGGGCCUCAGUGACGGGGGCUGUGGGAACUGUGCCUUCCAUCCCCGCCUGCCACUGCCUGGCCCCUCCUCCGAUGCAGACAGAGCGGCGCCCCUGGGACCCUGGAGUGCAGCAUGGUGCUGCCAAGUGCCUGUGUGCCUCGUGCUGGGGCCGAGGCCACGACAAGGCCUGCUGGCUCAGAGAACCCCGUGCCCGCACCUGGAGGGGGCUGGGAGGGGAGGAACAAGGGCCCCGUCACGCCUGUCUCCUGCCCCCCGCCAGGGCACUGCACAAACAGCACUCAGCCCAGAGGCCCUGGGGGGUUUGUUCCCCUCACCCACCACCCCGCUCUGCCACAAACUGGGGCACACAUAUAUGUGUGUAUGUGUGCGUGUACAUGCAUGGAUAUGAGACCCACGCAGUCAGGGCCCGGGCCAACCUGGGUGCUUGUGGCCACUGAGAAGCCACCCGUGCACCUUCCCCUCUGCACGCAGCUGCAGCCGACGACAGGAGUCGCACUGAGCCAGCUGUGCACAUGUCCCUGCCCCAGGAUCCUUCCCCACGGCCUGGGGUGCGGGACAAGGAGCAGAAAGCUGGUGCUGGCUUGAAACAUCUUUCCUGAAGUCCUCACCGCGUACUUGGCGUUGGGCAGGCAGGCCUGGCCCCUGUGCCUGCUCGGUGACAGUGGCGGCGGCGGCAGCAGCACCAGGCAGGCAGGCAGGCGGCACCCAGCCUGGUGUGCGUGUCUAACCUCUGGUAUUGCAUGUUCUGGGCAGGGAAGCGAGGGCGUCGCAGCAGUGCGGGAUCGCUAGAGAGCAAUGUGGAAGUAAGUAGGAAGCACCUCGUCCGGCUGGCUGUCCGUGUCACCCCAUCCUUGGUUCUCUGUCAUCUGUCCUGCUCUGCCUCCCCUGCACAGACAGGCAGAUGAGGCCCGCCCUGCCUGCCUCCGCCCUGUGCAUGCAGCUUCUCUGCCUCCCACAUCCAUGCCUCUCACCCUUGUUUUGGACCCACUGGUGGGGGGUGGCUCUGGAUUUUGUGUUUUCAUUUUGCUUAACCCUUGUCCCCUGUGGUCCCUGAGCAUGGUUAACCAUCCCAGCUUCACAAACCCACCCUGGGGUCCCUGCCCCGGCUGUCACUGCCCUUCCACUGGCUGUGGGAUUUGUCUGCCCCACUCGGCUUCUGUGCCCGGCCACGCCAUCCCUUCCUUCCUGGAGUUGGGCUGGCUGUGUCUGCCGUCAGGACCCCAUGGAAUUGCGUAGCUAUCCCCUGGGAGGACAGCGUCUGAGAGAGGAGUCAGUGUGGAGUUCAUGAGAUUUCAUUCAUCCUUCCCCAUCCAGCACUGUCCUCAUCUUGGCUCAGCUGGCAGAUCCUUUUCUGUUUUUCCUUUUCUUCAUUUGGUUAGCAGUAGGUAGCUGCAGUGAAAUGCCUAGGCGGCCCACGCCCCCAGGGACAAGGCUGCAGGGCCCCCCUUGUCUGUGUCACCACCCCUCAGGCACGUUGGGACCCCCAUGUGGGUGGGGCCAAUAUCCCCGGCCCAUGGAGAGGUCCCAGGGGAGAUCAGGACGGAAGUCAGCAGGAGCUGGGCUGCUUUUCCGUGCACAGUACCCCUCCCUGCCUCAUGCCGCUCAGGACACCCAGCCCGGGACUUGAGCCCUCAGGCAGGCAGCCCGCACGAUGUCUGUGCCGCAUGUGCACCAUGGCCCAGAAAGUAGGUGCUUCCUCCCCUGCCCGCAUGCCCCGAGGAGGCAGCCCGCAUCCAGCGCCCCCCCGGCCAGUGAGCGAACGGAGGGUUUAGCAGUCAGCAGGGGACUUUUACAUUGAAAGAAAAUCAUUCUGACCUCCGUGCUGUAAGAUCUUUUAAUGUUGAUUUCUAUGAAUUUCCUUUUCAGGGGUCCGUCAUUAGCAGUCCUCACAUGCGCCGAAGAGCUGCAUCCACACGGGAGUGUCCAUCUGGCCCACACCAGACCCUGCCCAACUCCUCCUCCCUCCUGGGCUCCUUGUUCGGGAGCAGGCAAGGGAAGCUCCCUCCCCAGACCCACCCCGGGCCCACGGAGGUCCCAGUUCACACCCAUCACGCCCAGUGCUGCCGCCUACAGCAGAACCCGAUCCCCUACCACCACCACCACCACUACCACCCACCCCAGCACCUCCAGCACGCCCACCAGUACCACCACGGCCCCCACGGGGGCCACCCCACCUACAGCGCCCAGGGCCACGGCCACCCACCGCUGCCCGCGGCCCACACCGGCCACGCAGCGCACCACCACGGGCAGCCGCCCGCCCCGCCGCCCCCCGCCAGCAGCAAGGCCAAACCCAGCGGCAUCAGCACAAUUGUGUAGACAGCAGGGCGGGGCCCCACCC